This 499-nucleotide ribosomal RNA is filed under the name uncultured Sphingobacteriales bacterium. Its description in RNAcentral is "bacterial SSU rRNA". It matches the Rfam family "Bacterial small subunit ribosomal RNA", at positions 903 to 1382 of the family's 1533-position model. Lineage: Bacteria; Pseudomonadati; Bacteroidota; Sphingobacteriia; Sphingobacteriales. The record is from RNAcentral.
GCCCGCUCAGAAACUACAAAGAAGUUAGACGGGGCCCGGCACAAGACGGUGGAGCAUGGUGGUUUAAUUUCGAUGAUACGCGAGGAACCGUUACCUGGGCUCAAAUGUAUGUUGACGUAUUCUGAAAGGGAUACUUCUUCGGACAAUAUACAAGGUGCUGCAUGGUUGUCGUCAGCUCGUGCCGUGAGGUGUCGGGUUAAGUCCCAUAACGAGCGCAACCCCUAUCAUUAGUUGCCAUCAGGUCAAGCUGGGGACUCUAAUGAAACUGCCUACGCAAGUAGUGAGGAAGGUGGGGAUGACGUCAAAUCAGCACGGCCCUUACGUCCAGGGCUACACACGUGCUACAAUGGCCGGUACAAAGGGCAGCUACCUGGUGACAGGAUGCUAAUCUCAAAGGCCGGUCUCAGUUCGGAUCGGAGUCUGCAACCCGACUCCGUGAAGCUGGAAUCGCUAGUAAUCGCGCAUCAGCCAUGGCGCGGUGAAUACGUUCCCGGGCCUU